Long non-coding RNA from Nerophis ophidion (straightnose pipefish), 1082 nucleotides. RefSeq lists it as uncharacterized. NCBI's taxonomy places the organism in Eukaryota, Metazoa, Chordata, Actinopteri, Syngnathiformes, Syngnathidae. The transcript has 2 exons. The record is from RefSeq and is a predicted model, not a curated record.
GACAUGGUCAUCUUACCUCCAUGAUGGCGGUCUUAUUGUUUUUUUUCCGUCUUUGGUUCCACUUUGCCGGAGUGAACUUCGACAACACUCGGUAUCCUCAACUAUCACAACAUGGCACCGGCUAGCAGAUUGGAAUUACUCCCGGAAGUGACGCCUGCAAAUGGGUGCAAAAGCAAAGGGAAAACAUACAAACACCCCAAAGAUGUUUGAAUGGAUAUUCAAACUACAUCACCAAACUGAUGCACUGAGCUAAAUAAUAGUGUUAUUAGUAAGCAAGCACAAAGGUCAUUUUAGUUUCUUCAAAUUCACUUUAUUUCCAAAAUUUUCAAGCACAAGUUGUAUGCCUCAUUUCAUAUCAAUGUCACACAAAAAGUUACACCUUUGAAUCUUUAUGUACAGCCAAUAAUCAGACAUGAAAAGAAAAAUCCCUGCAUUGUAACACAAACAAUCAGUACACAAGGGGGAAAAAAGCAAAAUAGAAGACUUUGCGGUUCACAGCUUAUAUUUGCAACAAGCUCUCAUUCACGCAUACACACACAAAGGGAACAUCAGCAGGUCAACUUUGAUGAACACGUGUAUCAUUUAAACACAAAAUACGUGCACGUGGUCCAGUGGUCCUUUCAAUCAGGAAGGCCUGAACCCCCUCCCAGGAGCACUAAAAUUGCUAACUGUAACAUUUAAAGGUAUUGCAGUGGGAUGCAAGGGAGGCUGUGCGUCACUUUCAUGUUUGUCAGACUUUUAUGUGUCCCAUCAGAACUACUUAGAACAUGUUUUGUCAGUUAAAAAAUGAGGAAAAUUAAAAACAAUGCUUAAAAAGUAAAAAAAUGUGAACUUGCGACAUGACUAACAAAUUAACUUACUAUUUUGGAAAAAGUGCAUAAAAAUGUGAAAAAUACAAAUUUUUUUUGAUAACACAAAUAAAACACAAAAAUUAAACCCUGAGUACUUCUGAUGACAUCUUACGACCACCCUCACAAAAACACAUGGCCUUUCUUGACGCUGGCAAAAUGGAAAGGCGUGUGACAACAGAGAAGCGCGAAGACGAGUGAGUGUCAAGCGGUGCUUUGAUUUGAGUAUAACAA